Molecule: ribosomal RNA, 253 nt
Filed under: uncultured bacterium
Lineage: Bacteria
Description: partial 16S ribosomal RNA
Rfam family: Bacterial small subunit ribosomal RNA
Source: RNAcentral
UACGUAGGGCGCAAGCGUUGUCCGGAAUUAUUGGGCGUAAAGAGCUCGUAGGCGGUUUGUCGCGUCUGCUGUGAAAUCCCGAGGCUCAACCUCGGGCUUGCAGUGGGUACGGGCAGACUAGAGUGCGGUAGGGGAGACUGGAAUUCCUGGUGUAGCGGUGGAAUGCGCAGAUAUCAGGAGGAACACCCAGGGGGAAACCAGUCGACUGGGCAGCACCUGACGCUGAGGUGCGAGAGCGUGGGGAGCGAGCCGG